This 449-nucleotide ribosomal RNA is filed under the name uncultured bacterium. RNAcentral's name for it is "bacterial SSU rRNA". It matches the Rfam family "Bacterial small subunit ribosomal RNA", at positions 329 to 792 of the family's 1533-position model. The record is from RNAcentral.
UGCCAGACUCCUACGGGAGGCAGCAGUGGGGAAUCUUGCGCAAUGGGCGGAAGCCUGACGCAGCGACGCCGCGUGCGGGACGAAGGCCUUCGGGUCGUAAACCGCUUUCAGCAGGGACGAAGCAAGUGACGGUACCUGAGGAAUAAGCCACGGCUAACUACGUGCCAGCAGCCGCGGUAAUACGUAGGUGGCAAGCGUUAUCCGGAUUUACUGGGUGUAAAGGGCGUGUAGGCGGGGACGCAAGUCAGAUGUGAAAACCACGGGCUCAACCUGUGGCCUGCAUUUGAAACUGUGUUUCUUGAGUACUGGAGAGGCAGACGGAAUUCCUAGUGUAGCGGUGAAAUGCGUAGAUAUUAGGAGGAACACCAGUGGCGAAGGCGGUCUGCUGGACAGCAACUGACGCUGAGGCGCGAAAGCGUGGGGAGCAAACAGGAUUAGAUACCCCGGUA